UUCUCAAAGCUCAGCCAUGGGGAGCUGUGGCUGGAACUCCCAUUGCCUUUCGACUGGCCACCAGCGGAGAUCCCAUUGCCGGAUAUCCCAUCGCCUUUCGAUGGGCCUACAUUCGUGCUACCGCCACCGUCACCAUUGCCAUCACCACCUCCGCCAUCUCCAUCACCACCUCCGCCAUCACCAUCACCACCUCCUCCGUCGACAAUACCACUUAUUCCUCCUUUUACCGGCGGCUUUUUGCCUCCUUUGCCCGGCUCUAAGCUUCCUGAUUUUGCCGGCCUUUUGCCUCUGAUUCCCAACUUACCUGAUGUGCCUCCCAUAGGUGGUGGUCCACCUGUUAACCAGCCAAAGCCGUCGUCACCAUCACCCCUAGUUAAGCCGCCACCACCACCACCUUCACCAUGUAAGCCAUCACCACCUGAUCAGUCUGCAAAGCAACCACCACAACCUCCUCCAGCAAAACAACCAUCACCUCCACCUCCUCCACCACCAGUUAAGGCACCAUCUCCAUCUCCAGCAAAGCAACCACCACCUCCUCCACCGCCAGUUAAGGCACCAUCUCCAUCUCCAGCCACUCAGCCACCUACAAAGCAACCGCCACCGCCGCCACGUGCUAAGAAAUCGCCUCUUCUACCUCCUCCGCCACCAGUUGCUUAUCCGCCAGUUAUGACACCAUCUCCAUCACCGGCUGCUGAGCCACCUAUUAUAGCACCAUUUCCAUCACCACCAGCGAAUCCACCCCUCAUUCCCCGUCGACCAGCACCACCAGUAGUUAAGCCGCUUCCACCUUUGGGGAAGCCCCCAAUCGUCAGUGGCCUUGUUUAUUGUAAAUCCUGCAACAGCUAUGGGGUUCCCACUCUGCUCAACGCCUCCCUACUCCAAGGUUAGUGUACUUCAAAACCUUUUCAGUACUUAUAUAUUUUCAAUACUUAUAUAAUUUCAAUUCUUAUAUAUUUUUAAUAUACUAACACAGAAAGCUACAAGAAUGAGAGGGGUUUAAAUUAUAUAUACCGUUAUAACUUUACUCCUUUAUUUUACAAAAUUAAAGGGGUCUAGAAUUAAAUUUGGUGGGUUAAAAUAUCAAAAAAUUUAUUGAUGAACUCGUUACACUUUUAAAAUCAUGGAUUAACAUUUACUAAUUAAUGCAUUCUUUUUAUUUAAAAGUUUACUAACUUAUCACAUAUGUUGCUACUACUAUUGUCCCUAUUUAUAUGGCACGGUUCGAAUUUAAGCGUCAAACUUCUUAAUUUUAACUAUAAAUUUGGAUAUAAAAAUAAAAAUUUAAAAAAAAUAGAGAAAAAUAAUGAGGUGGGGUUGGGGGCUAGUUGGGCGGGAGUGAAUGUGUUGGUGAUAAGGAAGAAAAAGAAAAGAAAAUUAUGGAGCGGAGCAAAUAAAUGGAGCGGGUCAAAUAUGAGGCGGAUAUAUUAUACUCAUAUUAUAUGAAGUAAAACCAGAAACCACAUGGCCUAAUAAAAUAAUGUCAACUCAUUAAAAGCGGAGCCCAUAUCCACUGCCGUUAAAUCGAGGGGUUAGCAAUAAAAAUAACCAUGGGUGUAUUUUUGGACCCAAAGGUAGACAGAUAGUAAUUCUAAAUCAUUUACCAAACGGAUAGAAUAAUUUUGACCCUUUUUACGAAUAAAUUUUACAUAUUUGAAAAUUGUGUUAAAAAUACUUUAAAUCAUAAUAAUUAACAAUUUAAAAUAUUUAAAGGUAUUCAAUAAAUAUAUAUAAAAAAUUUAUUUGACUCUUAAAAUUCGAACUAUACCAUAUAUAUUAAUACAGGGAGCAUAAUGCUAUAUUUCGUCACGAAGUUGCUACGCUCCUAACCCAUUGAUUGAAUGUCUCAUUCGCCACAAUUAGUAUAGUUUUAGCUUGUACUUCUUCCGUCUCAUAUUAUGUGUCGUGUUUCUCUUUACACACCCUUUAAAAAAUAUUAAUUUGGAAAGGGAUUAGACUAUUCUACUUUUAUUUAUGUCUUAAGAUAUAAUCUCUCUUCAUUGAAUAUUUAUUCUAUUUAUGUGUUUUCUCUAUCUUCAAGAAUAACUAUUACUAAGGGUAAAAAAAAGAAAAAAACAAUCAAUUUUAUCUUGAAUUUCUAAAAUGACAAAUAAUUUGAGACAACUAUUUUUAGUAACAAUGACUAUUAAUAUGAGAUGGAGGGAGUAACUUUUUACCCGGUUACUAAUUAUCACUUAUCAUAAAAAUUUAUACUCCUUGAGUUUCAAUUUAUGUGAAUUUAUUUGACUGGACAAGGAGUUUAAGGAAAAAGAGAAGAUUUUUGAACUUGUGGCAUAAAAUGAGACACAUAUUUUAUGUGACUAUAAAUCAUUGCAUAAACAUAAAUUAUCAAAAUAGCAGUCUUAUAUCAAUUUUUCUCUUGGGAUUGAGCUUACAAAAUUCAAUGGCAGGAGCUGUUGUGAAACUAAUUUGCUACGGAAAAAAAACAAUGGUUCAAUGGGCCACGACAGACAACAAAGGUGAGUUUCGGAUCAUGCCCAAAUCUUUAACCACAGCAGAUGUUGGCAAGUGCAAGGUAUAUUUAGUGAAAUCACCAAAUCCAAAUUGCAAUGUCCCAACAAAUUUCAAUGGUGGAAAAUCUGGUGGUUUAUUGAAGCCUCUCCUACCACCUAAACAACCGAUUACCCCUGCCGUUGUCCCUGUCCAACCACCCAUGUCUGAUUUAUAUGGUGUUGGACCUUUUAUAUUUGAAGCCUCCAGCAAAAUGCCAUGCGAUAAGAAUUGAGCUCCUCAUUAACAGAGAAUACAAGCCAGAAAGAUGGGAAUAAUGUAUGAGCAUGAGUUUGUGAUGGAAUUUUUUUUCUUUUUUGUUCUAUAGUUUAUACAAGGAGACAGAAAACUUUGUACCACUAUACAGAAAUCAAAUCAGUCGGAAAAUUCAAAAUCGAACUUAUGAAAACUGAAAAUAUUGACUCCUGACUUGAAAGUCAUCAAUUAUUUUGGGUAUUUGAAACUACAAUUUUUGUUUUUCUAAUAGCGUACUGCCUAUUUUUUAAUUUUAU
This 3020-nucleotide long non-coding RNA is filed under the name Nicotiana tabacum (common tobacco). RNAcentral's name for it is "long non-coding RNA (NTAB_LNC000257)". Lineage: Eukaryota; Viridiplantae; Streptophyta; Magnoliopsida; Solanales; Solanaceae. The record is from RNAcentral.